UGCCAGCACGUAAUGGUGGGAACUCUGAAAGGACUGCCGGUAUUAAAUCGGAGGAAGGUGGGGAUGACGUCAAAUCAUCAUGCCCUUUAUGUCCUGGGCAACACACGUACUACAAUGGCCGUGACAGAGAGAAGCAAUACAGCGAUGUAAAGCAAAACUCAAAAAGCGGUCUCAGUUCGGACUGAAGGCUGAAAUUCGCCUUCACGAAGUCGGAAUUGCUAGUAAUGGCAGGUCAGCAUACUGCCGUGAAUACGUUCCCGGGCCUUGUACACACCGCCCGUCACACCAUGAGAGUUAGAUAUACCCGAAGCCUGUGAGCAAACUAGUAAUAGAUGCAGCAGUCGAAGGUAGAGCUAAUGAUUGGGGUG
This 368-nucleotide ribosomal RNA is filed under the name uncultured bacterium. RNAcentral describes it as "bacterial SSU rRNA". It matches the Rfam family "Bacterial small subunit ribosomal RNA", at positions 1116 to 1482 of the family's 1533-position model. The record is from RNAcentral.